Molecule: long non-coding RNA, 818 nt
Filed under: Triticum aestivum (bread wheat)
Lineage: Eukaryota; Viridiplantae; Streptophyta; Magnoliopsida; Poales; Poaceae
Description: long non-coding RNA (TAES_LNC027021)
Source: RNAcentral
UUGAGACUAUGGUACGGGAGCAAUAUAGCAACUGGGCUUCUGACGGGGACCGUAUACAACCUGAAGCUCAAGGGCGGGGUGGAGGAUUGGGUCCAAUUCACCUGGCAGGUAUAUACCCCUACAUGUAAUCGCCAAAUCUGUCAUUGUUCAGAUAUAAUAGAUAUGCAGCUAUACAUGUUCAGAUAUAAUGGUCAAAUAAAUAAUAGUUACACGACGGGCAAAUAUUAUUUUGAGCUUCUCAAUGUUACCGAGCAAAGUGGAAGAUCCUUUUUGCUUGGACUUUUUGGAGUAGCACUUGAGGAACUUCUUCUGUUGCAUAUCUGUUAUAUGUGAACAAUGGUUGAUAAUCUCCAUGUAUAUACGGCAUCCCCUGUAAAUAAUAUCCCUGUACAGUCCUAUGAGGAACAAAUUCGGCAGAAUAUAAGUGAAAGCAGUUUGAUGCAGGCGGGCUCUCUGAUCAAUACUGAGGUCAUACAUCUCUAGCUAACAGAUUACUACAUGGAUCAACCCAGACGACUACAUGGAUCUCUUACAUAUUGCUACAUGGAUCAACCCAGCCAGAUUACUACAUGGAUCAACCCAUCUUUAGUAGGCAAAGAUUAAGUGCCUGGAUCAAGCUUCCUGCAAAAAAAAGUACCUGGAUCAAGCAAAAAUAAUACAGUACCUUGACAUCGUCAGACCAACGCGGCAUGCUGCCUACCACAUGAUCUGCCAUGGCUGCCGGUCAUGCAUGCACAUCACCACACGUUGCAGGCAGCAGAGGUCGUUGAGUGGAAGCCGCCCAUGUGCCAUGGUCGAUGAGCCCAUCACCACCGCUG